UUUCCUUUCUUAUUCUUCAUUCAUAGUUGCCAUAAACACUUGAUCAAUCACUUUUCCAUGGAGUCGUUGAUCAGCUUAUAUGCAAGUCCUGUCCAUGAACCAAUCAUACCUACCUUAGAAGACAUUCCUUAUUGGAUGAUUGAUUUCUUCUACAUUGACUUCCAAUACACCCACAUAACUUUACCCUCCAAACACAAUGGUACUAAAUCCUUUACAACAACAACCAAUGAAAGCUUCUUCAUUCCUUAUGAAAUCUUAUGCAUUUGUAAUGAAUUCACAGUCAAGGAGAGGG
RNAcentral lists this long non-coding RNA (292 nucleotides) under Cicer arietinum (chickpea). RNAcentral's name for it is "long non-coding RNA (CARI_LNC003155)". The record is from RNAcentral. Lineage: Eukaryota; Viridiplantae; Streptophyta; Magnoliopsida; Fabales; Fabaceae.